RNAcentral lists this small RNA (159 nucleotides) under Pantoea ananatis. RNAcentral's name for it is "STAXI RNA". It matches the Rfam family "STAXI RNA". The record is from RNAcentral. Lineage: Bacteria; Pseudomonadati; Pseudomonadota; Gammaproteobacteria; Enterobacterales; Erwiniaceae.
CGUUGCUUUUGCAACACGCCAAUGCCCCGGCAAUCUGAGAGGGGCGCCUUCGGGUGAUUGCACUGCCAAAACCGUCAUGACCUGAGAGACGGAGCCUUCGGGCGGUAAACCCGUCAGCCUUUGAAAAUGGGGAUCGCGAUAAGCGCGAUAAAGGAUCUA